AAAUAUUCAAUGAUAGGGAAGAGUAGCUUUAAGAAUUGCUUACAGAGAGCCGAAGGUGUUAGAAUUCGGCAGCAUGAAUUAUUAUGAAUGGGCCCUUGAGAAAUAAAUCGAAAUCCGUUAGGAAAAGUAGUGGUUAUCGGAAGCCUACUGUUAAAAAGGUUAGAGCAUAUUUGUGUUGAAAAUUAAGUUGUGUAUUUAUACAUAAAUUAGGUGGUACCGCGAUUAUAACCUCGCCCUAAUA
This 241-nucleotide non-coding RNA is filed under the name Clostridium pasteurianum. RNAcentral describes it as "T-box sequence". It matches the Rfam family "T-box leader". Rfam says of the family: Uncharged tRNA acts as the effector for transcription antitermination of genes in the T-box leader family. Lineage: Bacteria; Bacillati; Bacillota; Clostridia; Eubacteriales; Clostridiaceae. The record is from RNAcentral.